Molecule: small nuclear RNA, 107 nt
Filed under: Phascolarctos cinereus (koala)
Lineage: Eukaryota; Metazoa; Chordata; Mammalia; Diprotodontia; Phascolarctidae
Source: RNAcentral
GUGCUCUCUUUGGCAGCACAUAUAUUAAAAUUGAAACAAUACAGAGAAGAUUAACAUGGGCCCUGCGCAAGGAUGACACACAAAUUCAUGAAGCAUUCCAUAUUUUU